Chroicocephalus ridibundus (black-headed gull) is the source of this 80-nucleotide small nucleolar RNA. RefSeq annotates it as small nucleolar RNA SNORD69. NCBI's taxonomy places the organism in Eukaryota, Metazoa, Chordata, Aves, Charadriiformes, Laridae. The transcript has a single exon. The record is from RefSeq and is a predicted model, not a curated record.
UACGCAAAGCAUAUGAUGAGAAAACACUGAAACUGACUCUCUGUAUGAAGUGCAUUCAGUCCAACACUGAGCUUUGUGGU